CACCUCUUCCCAUUCCGAACAGAGUAGUUAAGCCCGCCAGAGCCGAUGGUAUUGCCGUAACAGGUGGGAGAGUAGGUCGGUGCCUAAU
RNAcentral lists this ribosomal RNA (88 nucleotides) under Candidatus Sphingobacterium stercorigallinarum. Lineage: Bacteria; Pseudomonadati; Bacteroidota; Sphingobacteriia; Sphingobacteriales; Sphingobacteriaceae. The record is from RNAcentral.